GACGAACGCUGGCGGCGUGCUUAACACAUGCAAGUCGAACGGAAAGGCCCUGCUUUUGUGGGGUUCUCGAUUGGCGAACGGGUGAGUAACACGUGAGUAACCUGCCCUUGACUUUGGGAUAACUUCAGGAAACUGGGGCUAAUACCGGAUAGGAGCUCCUGCUGCAUGGGGGGGGUUGGAAAGUUUCGGCGGUUGGGGAUGGACUCGCGGCUUAUCAGCUUGUUGGUGGGGUAGUGGCUUACCAAGGCUUUGACGGGUAGCCGGCCUGAGAGGGUGACCGGCCACAUUGGGCCUGAGAUACGGACCAGACUCCUACGGGAGGCAGCAGUGGGGAAUAUGGCACAAUGGGCGGACGCCUGAUGCAGCAACGCCGCGUGCGGGAUGACGGCCUUCGGGUUGUGAACCGCUGUCGCAUGUGACGAAGCGAGAGUGACGGUACUGGGUAAAGAAGCACCGGCUAACUACGUG
RNAcentral lists this ribosomal RNA (468 nucleotides) under uncultured bacterium. RNAcentral describes it as "partial 16S ribosomal RNA". It matches the Rfam family "Bacterial small subunit ribosomal RNA", at positions 28 to 507 of the family's 1533-position model. The record is from RNAcentral.